GAGUCAGUGAGUGACCAGUGACUGGCUGCUGCAGCCAAUGAUGGGAUUCACAUACGUAUUUACCAUAGACUGUAUAUAAUGGUAUUUACGCAGCUAAUCAACGUCAUUGACAGGCGUCCUUAUGUGCAGCCAUCGUUGUUGUCAUAGAUAUGAAUGAGUAGAUAGGACACGCCCCUUUGAGCUGCGGCUACUGCGAGGCUAAGCUAGUGGGAGCAAAGUUUCAGUGCAUUCCGUUGAUGUAGACGGCGUGAAAACGGAAACAAGAAGUAUGCCGGCUCACUGUGCUGCAUACAAUUACACACUACGUCAUACGAUUGAGACAAGGAAACUUGGAAUGACUUUUCAUAGGUUUCCCAGAGACUAUGGGUUGAGGAGGAAUUGGAAGUUUGUCAGCUUAGACCUGGUGUCAUUCCAUCAGUGUUAAACUUCCCGGCUCAUCUUGGAAGAGUACGUGCCAGAAAGACCACGACCAAGCAGCCUUGAGAUCUUAGGCAGCGUCUCCCUGAGGUCCCUCUCUAUCUCCCCACACAUCCACCAACCACUGGAACACAUCUCCAAAGUUCUGCUGGGCCAGGUCAACUUCUCCUCAGAAGAAGUGCCGCCACCUGCCAGAUGAAGGAGCCUUUUGAGAGGCAGCUGGCAUCGUGAUUGGACUGUACUUUGGUCUGUUCCAAUCCAGCUUCAGCUCCAGAGACGGCAGGCGGGACGAGUCAACGGAGGCCUGGUGGACGAAGGCAUGCAGCUGAGUACAAUCCAGAAAACAACAGAGGAGGAGUGCAGGGCCAGAACAAAGAGAGUAGCAUCACCAAAGAACUACAGACUCUUCACAACCUGCUCAAACUCUUGUACAGGACCUCACCACACGGGUAAAGAAGGUUUCUGUCUCAUUUCUACUCUGAAGAUCACCUUCUCCUGCUCAAACUGCUGACAAAUGUUUCUGCUGCUCUAAAGUCUGGUCUCCAGAACUUCCUAAAAACUCUCAAAGUCUCUUCUGCUGCAGGUUGCUUUGUAGAACUGUUCCAGAAAACCUCACUAAACCACAUGGAGGGGCCUCAAGAUAGUUGUCCAAAUGAAACCGUACAAAAACCAAACUAGUACAACCCAAACGCUAAAGUCUCCUGCAGCCUACCAGAGAACCUCUGAGAACAGAGAAUCAGGACAGGAACUCUUACCUUCUGGACAACCAACGUUGGUUCACAAACAAGAAUACACAAUGUGUCUGACCAAAAACCUCUGAAGACUCACUACAGCCAAGAUAAAGACACAACUCAGCUGCAGCAAAUCCACUAAUCACUGCACACAUUAGCACCAUGUGAUAACUGUGGCUAAAGAACCACAUUUACCAAGACAGCUAUCCAGUACAAAGCCCUAAAACACACCAAGAAACACAUUAAAGCCUAUUUUACUGCUGGAAGCUGCAAGCCAACGCCUAAAGAACAACCUAAAGCGACGGAGCCAAACCCGGUUCACUGGUGAAGAGAAGAAGAGGAAAUGUUUGUCUGCAGCUAAAUAAAGCAGGAAGACACUGAGCUGCUCAGGUGUUCCUGAUAACACCAAGCAGCCACCUGGACAGCCAAUAGGAACACAUCUUACUGGAAGUCCAGAGGGCUGGGUUAGUGAAGGAAAUUUAGUUUAAAGUUGAAGCAGAAAGUUAACAAAGAAAGUUGAAAACCACCUUCUGAUACCUGAAAUCUCUGAGUUUUCACACAAAGAACACCUGAACAUGUCAAACUGGUUCCAUAGUAGAACCAUCAUUGUAAAAACGUCAUAGUAUGGUGUGUUGCUCAAAAAACAUUAGGACCCGGCUGUCAGGGGACAAACAUGUAAGAAACAUGAGAACAGAGAGAACCCAACCAGUAGGUCACAGUUUAUCAUCCCCCAGUCAUCUCCUGAAGUCCAUAUGGUGAGAGACAUCAGUAUCUGGUUGUUCAUUUACCAGAGGAUGCUUAUAAUCAUGCUGAUGUGGUCUGUACUCUACAGUAUUUUAGUGACUCAAUAAAUGCC
This is a long non-coding RNA of Amphiprion ocellaris (clown anemonefish), 2004 nucleotides long. Lineage: Eukaryota; Metazoa; Chordata; Actinopteri; Pomacentridae. The record is from Ensembl.